AACGAACGCUGGCGGCAUGCCUAACACAUGCAAGUCGAACGAGAUCUUCGGGUCUAGUGGCGCACGGGUGCGUAACGCGUGGGAAUCUGCCCUUUGGUUCGGAAUAACAGUUGGAAACGACUGCUAAUACCGGAUGAUGACGAAAGUCCAAAGAUUUAUCGCCAGAGGAUGAGCCCGCGUAGGAUUAGCUAGUUGGUGUGGUAAAGGCGCACCAAGGCGACGAUCCUUAGCUGGUCUGAGAGGAUGAUCAGCCACACUGGGACUGAGACACGGCCCAGACUCCUACGGGAGGCAGCAGUGGGGAAUAUUGGACAAUGGGCGAAAGCCUGAUCCAGCAAUGCCGCGUGAGUGAUGAAGGCCUUAGGGUUGUAAAGCUCUUUUACCCGGGAUGAUAAUGACAGUACCGGGAGAAUAAGCUCCGGCUAACUACAUGCCAGCAGCCGCCGUAA
Molecule: ribosomal RNA, 449 nt
Filed under: uncultured bacterium
Lineage: Bacteria
Description: partial 16S ribosomal RNA
Rfam family: Bacterial small subunit ribosomal RNA
Source: RNAcentral